UACGUAGGGUGCAAGCGUUGUCCGGAAUUAUUGGGCGUAAAGAGCUUGUAGGCGGUUUGUCGCGUCUGCUGUGAAAAUCCGGGGCUCAACCCCGGGCCUGCAGUGGGUACGGGCAGACUAGAGUGCGGUAGGGGAGAUUGGAAUUCCUGGUGUAGCGGUGGAAUGCGCAGAUAUCAGGAGGAACACCAAUGGGCGAAGGCAGAUCUCUGGGCCGUAACUGACGCUGGAGGAGCGAAAGCAUGGGGAGCGAACAGG
Molecule: ribosomal RNA, 255 nt
Filed under: uncultured bacterium
Lineage: Bacteria
Description: partial 16S ribosomal RNA
Rfam family: Bacterial small subunit ribosomal RNA
Source: RNAcentral